CCUACGGGAGGCUGCAGUGAGGAAUAUUGGUCAAUGGGCGGAAGCCUGAACCAGCCAAGUAGCGUGCAGGAUGACGGCCCUAUGGGUUGUAAACUGCUUUUAUGCGGGGAUAAAGGAGCCCACGUGUGGGUUUUUGCAGGUACCGCAUGAAUAAGGACCGGCUAAUUCCGUGCCAGCAGCCGCGGUAAUACGGAAGGUCCGGGCGUUAUCCGGAUUUAUUGGGUUUAAAGGGAGCGUAGGCCGCCCCUUAAGCGUGUUGUGAAAUGCGGGUGCUCAACAUCCGACUUGCAGCGCGAACUGGGGGGCUUGAGUGCGCCGAAAGUAGGCGGAAGUCGUGGUGUAGCGGUGAAAUGCUUAGAUAUCACGAAGAACUCCGAUUGCGAAGGCAGCUUACUGUAGCGCAACUGACGCUGAUGCUCGAAAGCGUGGGUAUCGAACAGGAUUAGAUACCCGGGUAGUC
RNAcentral lists this ribosomal RNA (460 nucleotides) under uncultured Prevotella sp. Its description in RNAcentral is "bacterial SSU rRNA". It matches the Rfam family "Bacterial small subunit ribosomal RNA", at positions 338 to 795 of the family's 1533-position model. The record is from RNAcentral. Lineage: Bacteria; Pseudomonadati; Bacteroidota; Bacteroidia; Bacteroidales; Prevotellaceae.